ACCCACGCCCUUUACAGAACAGGUAAAAAUGGAGGCCUUGAACAAGAUAAAGAGAUUGAAGCUUGCUCUGGAGGCCACGACGGCCAUGAACAUGUUGGAGCCUUUUGAGUAUUAUGCAAUGUAUACUGUUAUUCUCUUGUUGUUCUUCCUUGCUCUGUAUGGCUGCUACUGGUUCUUACCCUCUCAUCUAAGACAUCUGGCAUACGUUGUUGGGCUAUCAAGUACAGAUUUAUGAAGAUUAAAAAAUGAUUAUCAAUAAAUAAUAAUAUUAUUAUUUUAACGACUUUUAACAAUUAAAUUUGCUUAUAAUACAAUCCCAAUAACAAUUAAA
Amphimedon queenslandica is the source of this 331-nucleotide long non-coding RNA. RefSeq lists it as uncharacterized. The record is from RefSeq and is a predicted model, not a curated record. The transcript has 2 exons. NCBI's taxonomy places the organism in Eukaryota, Metazoa, Porifera, Demospongiae, Haplosclerida, Niphatidae.